CCUACGUGUGGCAGCAGUGGGGGAUAUUGCACAAUGGGGGGAACCCUGAUGCAGCGACGCCGCGUGGGUGAAGAAGCGCCUCGGCGCGUAAAGCCCUGUCAGCAGGGAAGAAAAUGACGGUACCUGAAGAAGAAGCCACGGCUAACUACGUGCCAGCAGCCGCGGGCAUACGUAGGGGGCAAGCGUUAUCCGGAUUUACUGGGGGUAACGGGAGCGCAGGUGGCACGGCAAGUCUGAUGUGAAAGCGCUCGGCCCAACCGCGGGACUGCAUUGGGAACUACCGGGCUGGAGUGCCGGAGAGGUAGGCGGAAUUCCUAGUGUAGCGGUGAAAUGCGUAGAUAUUAGGAGGAACACCAGUGGCGAAGGCGGCCUACUGGACGGUGACUGACGCUGAGGCUCGAAAGCGUGGGGAGCAAACAGGAUUAGAUACCCGGGUAGUC
Molecule: ribosomal RNA, 440 nt
Filed under: uncultured bacterium
Lineage: Bacteria
Description: partial 16S ribosomal RNA
Rfam family: Bacterial small subunit ribosomal RNA
Source: RNAcentral